Molecule: small nuclear RNA, 96 nt
Filed under: Suricata suricatta (meerkat)
Lineage: Eukaryota; Metazoa; Chordata; Mammalia; Carnivora; Herpestidae
Source: RNAcentral
GUGCCUGCUUUGGCAGCACAUAUACUAAAAUUGAGAAGAUUAGCAUGGACCCUGUGCAAGGAUGACAUGCAAAUUUGUGAAGCAUUUCAUUAUCUU